Molecule: ribosomal RNA, 406 nt
Filed under: uncultured bacterium
Lineage: Bacteria
Description: bacterial SSU rRNA
Rfam family: Bacterial small subunit ribosomal RNA
Source: RNAcentral
UGGGGGAUAUUGCGCAAUGGGGGAAACCCUGACGCAGCAACGCCGCGUGAAGGAAGAAGGUUUUCGGAUUGUAAACUUCUUUUGUUAAGGACGAAGAGAUGACGGUACUUAACGAAUAAGCUCCGGCUAACUACGUGCCAGCAGCCGCGGUAAUACGUAGGGAGCGAGCGUUGUCCGGAUUUACUGGGUGUAAAGGGUGCGUAGGCGGCAAGGCAAGUCAGAUGUGAAAUACACGGGCUCAACUCGUGGGCUGCAUUUGAAACUGUUUUGCUUGAGUGAAGUAGAGGCAGGCGGAAUUCCCGGUGUAGCGGUGAAAUGCGUAGAGAUCGGGAGGAACACCAGUGGCGAAGGCGGCCUGCUGGGCUUUAACUGACGCUGAGGCACGAAAGCGUGGGUAGCAAACAGG